AGUAAAAUCAGCUAAUAAAGCUUUUGGGCCCAUACCCCAGAAAUGUUGGUUAAAAUCCUUCUUUUACUA
This 69-nucleotide transfer RNA is filed under the name Stegastes leucostictus (beaugregory). Its description in RNAcentral is "tRNA-Met". It matches the Rfam family "tRNA". Rfam says of the family: Transfer RNA (tRNA) molecules are approximately 80 nucleotides in length. Their secondary structure includes four short double-helical elements and three loops (D, anti-codon, and T loops). Further hydrogen bonds mediate the characteristic L-shaped molecular structure. tRNAs have two regions of fundamental functional importance: the anti-codon, which is responsible for specific mRNA codon recognition, and the 3' end, to which the tRNAs corresponding amino acid is attached (by aminoacyl-tRNA synthetases). tRNAs cope with the degeneracy of the genetic code in two manners: having more than one tRNA (with a specific anti-codon) for a particular amino acid; and 'wobble' base-pairing, i.e. permitting non-standard base-pairing at the 3rd anti-codon position. Lineage: Eukaryota; Metazoa; Chordata; Actinopteri; Pomacentridae. The record is from RNAcentral.